Molecule: ribosomal RNA, 277 nt
Filed under: uncultured Burkholderiales bacterium
Lineage: Bacteria; Pseudomonadati; Pseudomonadota; Betaproteobacteria; Burkholderiales
Description: partial 16S ribosomal RNA
Rfam family: Bacterial small subunit ribosomal RNA
Source: RNAcentral
GUGCCAGCAGCCGCGGUAAUACGUAGGGUGCAAGCGUUAAUCGGAAUUACUGGGCGUAAAGCGUGCGCAGGCGGUUUUGUAAGUCUGUCGUGAAAGCCCCGGGCUUAACCUGGGAAUUGCGAUGGAGACUGCAAGGCUUGAAUCUGGCAGAGGGGGGUAGAAUUCCACGUGUAGCAGUGAAAUGCGUAGAGAUGUGGAGGACACCGAUGGCGAAGGCAGCCCCCUGGGUCAAGAUUGACGCUCAUGCACGAAAGCGUGGGGAGCAAACAGGAUUAGA